UCAUUGCUGAGGAGUCCCACAACAGGACGAAACGGCCGUCCAGUGC
Molecule: non-coding RNA, 46 nt
Filed under: Schistosoma mattheei
Lineage: Eukaryota; Metazoa; Platyhelminthes; Trematoda; Strigeidida; Schistosomatidae
Source: RNAcentral